UGGUUGUGGCUCAGUGGUAGAGUGCUUGCCUAUUAUGUGAGGCACUGGGUUCAAUCCUCAGCACCAA
Molecule: transfer RNA, 67 nt
Filed under: Marmota monax (woodchuck)
Lineage: Eukaryota; Metazoa; Chordata; Mammalia; Rodentia; Sciuridae
Description: tRNA.Asn
Source: RNAcentral